UGGGGAAUCUUGCACAAUGGGCGAAAGCCUGAUGCAGCGACGCCGCGUGCGGGAUGAAGGCCUUCGGGUUGUAAACCGCUUUCAGCAGGGACGAGGCCGCAAGGUGACGGUACCUGCAGAAGAAGCCCCGGCUAACUACGUGCCAGCAGCCGCGGUAAUACGUAGGGGGCAAGCGUUAUCCGGAUUCAUUGGGCGUAAAGCGCGCGUAGGCGGUUUGUUAGGUCAGGAGUUAAAUCUGGGGGCUCAACCCCUAUCCGCUCCUGAUACCGGCAGGCUUGAGUCUGGUAGGGGAAGGCGGGAUUCCAAGUGUAGCGGUGAAAUGCGCAGAUAUUUGGAAGAACACCGGUGGCGAAGGCGGCCUUCUGGGCCACGACUGACGCUGGGGCGCGAAAGCUAGGGGAGCGAACAGG
Molecule: ribosomal RNA, 410 nt
Filed under: Verrucomicrobiota bacterium
Lineage: Bacteria; Pseudomonadati; Verrucomicrobiota
Description: Verrucomicrobia bacterium partial 16S ribosomal RNA
Rfam family: Bacterial small subunit ribosomal RNA
Source: RNAcentral